GACGAACGCUGGCGGCGUGCUUAACACAUGCAAGUCGAACGGAAAGGCCCUGCUUUUGUGGGGUGCUCGAGUGGCGAACGGGUGAGUAACACGUGAGUAACCUCCCCUUGACUUUGGGAUAAAUUCAGGAAACUGGGGCUAAUACCGGAUAGGAGAUCCUGCUGCAUGGUGGGGGUUGGAAAGUUUCGGCGGUUGGGGAUGGACGCGCGGCUUAUCAGCUUGUUGGUGGGGUAGUGGUAUACCAAGUCUUCGACGGGUAGGCCGCCUGGGCGGGUGGCCGGCCACAUUGGGACUAAGAGACGGCGCAGACGCCUACGGGAGGCAGCAGGGGGGAAUAUUGCACAAUGGGCGGAAGCGUGAUGCAGCAACGCCGCGUGCGGAAUGACGUCCUUCGGGUUGUGAACCGCUUUCGCCUGUGAUGAAGCGUGAGUGACGGUAAUGGGUAAAAAAGCACCGGCUAACUACGUG
Molecule: ribosomal RNA, 468 nt
Filed under: uncultured bacterium
Lineage: Bacteria
Description: partial 16S ribosomal RNA
Rfam family: Bacterial small subunit ribosomal RNA
Source: RNAcentral